AUAUGGGAUGUUUGGGGUUCCCCCACUGGCGGAGGUUAUGGGGCAGGGGUGGGAGGUUAUGGGGCGGAGAUGGGAGCUUAUAGGGUUCCCCCCCAAUGGCGGUUAUGGGGCAGGGAUGGGAGAUUUGGGGUUCCCCCACUGGUGGUGGUUAUGGGGAAGGAAUGGGAGCAUAUGGGGUUUCCCCCCCAGCAGUGGUUAUGGGGUGGAUAUGGGGUGGUUAUGGGGCAGGGAUGGGAGGUUAUGGGGCCAUUAUGGGUCCCAUCCCCCAGCAGCAGUUAUGGGAUGGUUAUGGGGUGGUUAUGGGGUUCCCCCCCCGAGGCAGUUAUGGGGCCAUCAUGAGUCCCAUCCCCCAACAGCACUUAUGGGGUGGAUAUGGGGUGGUUAUGGGGUGGUUAUGGGGUUCCCCUCCCAGCAACCGUUAUGGGGUGAUUAUGGGAUGUUUCAGAUUCCCGCCCCCCUCCCCCUGCUGGCGGUUAUGGGGCAGGGAUGGGAGAUUUGGGGUCCCCCCGAUGGCGGUUAUGGGGCAGAUAUGGGAGGUUAUGGGGUUGCCCCCCCCAGCGGCGGUUAUGGGGCAGAUAUGGGAAGUUUGGGGUCCCCCUGCUGGCGGUUAUGGGGCAGGAAUGGGAGGUUAUGGGGCUGCCCCCCCUGCUGUCGGUUAUGGGGCAGAUAUGGGAGGUUAUGGGGUUGCCCCCCCCAGUCGCGGUUAUGGGGCAGAUAUGGGAAUUUUGGGGUCCCCCUGAUUGCGGUUAUGGGGCAGAUAUGGGAGGUUAUGGGGUUGCCCCCCCCCAGUCGCGGUUAUGGGGCAGAUAUGGGAAGUUUGGGGUCCCCCUGCUGGCGGUUAUGGGGCAGAUAUGGGAGGUUAUGGGGUUUCCCCCCCCUGCUGGCAGAUAUGGGGCAGAUAUGGGAAGUUUGGGGUCCCCCUGAUGGUGGUUAUGGGGCAGAUAUGGGAGGUUAUGGGGCUGCCCCCCCAGCGGUGGUUAUGGGGUAGGGAUGGGCGUUUGGGGUUCCCCUCCCCAGUGGCCCCUAUGGGGCAGCUAUGGGGCCACACUGGUACCGCUAUGGGGCCACUAUGGGGCGGCUGUGGGCAGUUAUGGGGCAGCUACGGGGACACUGUGGGGCAGCUAUGGGGUAGCUAUGGGGCGGCUAUGGGGCAGCUAUGGGGUGGGUAUGGGGCAGCUAUGGUGCUGCUAUGGGGCAACUAUAGUGCUGCUAUAGGGCAGCUAUGGGGCAGCUAUGAGCAGUUAUGGGGCAGCUAUGGGGGAGCUACAGAGCCACAAUGGUGCUGCUAUAGGGCAGCUAUGGGGUGGCUAUGGGGCUGCUAUGGGGCCGCAAUGGGGCCACCUUGGUGCUGCUAUAGGGCAGCUAUGGGGCCAGAACGAUGCCGCUAUAGGGCCGCAAUGGUGCCGCUAUGGGGCUGCUAUGGGGCCACAUUGGUGCUGCUAUGGGGCCGCUAUGGGGCGGCUAUGAAACCACAAUGGUGCUGCUAUGGGGCCACAUUAUUGCUGCUAUGGGGCCACAUUGGUGCUGCUAUGGGGCCGCUAUGGGGCUGCUGUGGGGCCAUAUUGGCGCUGCUAUGGGGUGGCUAUGGGGCUGCUAUGGGGCCACAAUGGUGCUGCUAUGGGGCAGCUAUGGGGCCAGAAGGACGGCGCUAUGGGGCAGCUAUGGGGCCAGAAGGAUGACGCUAUGGGUCCGCU
Long non-coding RNA from Phasianus colchicus (ring-necked pheasant), 1694 nucleotides. NCBI's taxonomy places the organism in Eukaryota, Metazoa, Chordata, Aves, Galliformes, Phasianidae. The record is from Ensembl.